GGGGCGCUCCUUAGACAACAUGGCGGGAGGGAGAAAGCGUCUCAGGGGUGAGGCACUCCAGCGCUUUGCUGGGCGGACACAUGAAGCUUCCUUUCUCCCGCAGCUCUGUAGAAAAAGGCUCAACCGAUCCCAACCAUUCGAAGGAAUCCGUUGGAUGAGUGGGAGGCCUUGCGUUUAUUAGACUCCCUCCAGUGUAGUCGGAACAAGUGUUCGUUUUACUUUCUUCAGUAUUUGAGAUGAGAUAAUCUCCUUCCUGACUUAAAUUUUGUGCGUGCGUGCGAGAGAAACAUCUGAAUCGAGAGGGACUUAAUGAGAAAAGCUUGGUCCCCUCCUUACCAACUGUAGCACCUUGAAGCCCUGCAAGUUUUCCAACAUACAAGGAGGAGAUCAAAUCCACUUGCCUUUGAGAACUAGACCUCAGGGAGGAGGCUUCCGGCUCAGCACCAGAACGAGUCUUCUAAGUUCUGUCUCUGAAGUUUGUGAUGUCUUCAGUAACAAAGCUUACCCUCCAGUGUUUGGAGAUUAAAGAUGAAAACCAGCUGUUGAUUGUGAGAAAAUGCAUCCAGGUUCAUAAAUCCGGACUCCAAGUGUAGUGACCAAAGUGGAGGUGCUGUGGAGUGUAAUCAUCAGAAGACCAGAUGGGCCUCUUAUAUUCUCAUCUGCAUGAAACCCCCCCCCCCUUACUUCUAGCCUUACCACAUUGAGGAUUUUAUAUAGUCAUUCAUUUGUUUAGACAGGCUCUCACAAUACAGCCUAGGUUGUCCAAAGCUCACUAUAUAUCCCAGCUAACAGUGAACUACUCACACUACCCCUGCCUCAGCCUUCUGGGUGCUAGGAUUAGAGCCAUUAAGCCACAACCCAUGACAACUUCAAAUAAUUUUUCCAAAUCCAUUUCCUCAUCUCUGAGGUGAGGGGCUGAUGCUAAAGCAUAAAUCAUAAGGUGAGUUUAGAAAAGGAGAUGGCGAGACCCAUAGCAAAUGCUAUCAAAAGGUGGACAGCAUCCACCAUGGGAGUUUGGGAGUAAACUGAUUUCAUGGGUCACAGAUGAUGAAGAGGAUAAUGGAGAAUUUUUGUUGUGGGAGGAAGUCAUGUGGUUACAUGUGGAAGCCAUGAACAGGUGUACAGGGUACCAAUACAAAAUAUUUCCUGUUGUGGAUCAUGAUCAAUAAAGUUAGGUCAGCAUUAUGGUCUAUUACUUUUGCCCACU
Mus musculus (house mouse) is the source of this 1207-nucleotide long non-coding RNA. RefSeq annotates it as RIKEN cDNA 4930459C07 gene. Lineage: Eukaryota; Metazoa; Chordata; Mammalia; Rodentia; Muridae. The record is from RefSeq and is marked validated. The transcript has 3 exons.